GACGAACGCUGGCGGCGUGCUUAACACAUGCAAGUCGAACGGACAGACCCUGCUUUUGUGGGGUGCUCGAGUGGCGAACGGGUGAGUAACACGUGAGUAUACUGCCCUUGACUGUGGGAUAAAAUCACGAGACAGCGGCUCAUACAGGGUAGGAGCUCCUGCUGCACGGUGGGGGUUGGAAAGAUUCGGCGGUGGGGGAUGGACUAGAGGCUUAUCAGCUUGAUGGUGUGGUAGUGGCUGACAAAGGGUAUGACGGGUAGCCUGCCUGAGAGGGGGACCGGGCACAAGGGGCCUAAGAGAGGGCCCAGACUGCUACGUGAGGCAGAAGUGGGGAACAUGGCACAACGGGCGGGAGCCUGAGGCAGCAAUGCCGGGUGCGGGAUGACCGCCUUUGGGGUGUGAACAGCUUUCGCCUGUGACGAAGCGUGAUUGACGGUAACGGGUAAAGAAGCACCGGCUAACUACGUG
RNAcentral lists this ribosomal RNA (468 nucleotides) under uncultured bacterium. RNAcentral's name for it is "partial 16S ribosomal RNA". It matches the Rfam family "Bacterial small subunit ribosomal RNA", at positions 28 to 507 of the family's 1533-position model. The record is from RNAcentral.